RNAcentral lists this long non-coding RNA (1017 nucleotides) under Elaeis guineensis (African oil palm). RNAcentral's name for it is "long non-coding RNA (EGUI_LNC030162)". Lineage: Eukaryota; Viridiplantae; Streptophyta; Magnoliopsida; Arecales; Arecaceae. The record is from RNAcentral.
CUCAUCACUGUUCGACCAAAUGCUCAAGCACCGCAACGACGCGGCCUGCCCGGCUAAAGGAUUCUACACCUACAACGCUUUCAUUUCUGCGGCGAAUUCCUUCAGUGGCUUUGGGACAACUGGGGACGAUACCACUCGCAAGAGGGAGAUCGCUGCUUUCUUGGCACAGACCUCCCAUGAAACAACUGGUGAUUAGUUCUACUUCGCUGUAAAAUUAAUUCUGGACUUCCUUCGUGUGUGCUCCUCCUUGCAUCCUGUCGAGUGAUGGUGGUGGUGUUUUGUUUGGUUAUAGGUGGGUGGGCGACUGCACCUGAUGGCCCUUAUGCCUGGGGCUACUGUUUUAAACAGGAGCAAGGCAAUCCCCCGGAUUAUUGCGUCCAAAGUUCACAGUGGCCUUGUGCUCCAGGAAAGAAGUACUACGGCCGAGGACCGAUACAAAUCUCCUAGUAAGUAGUUUAUAACACCUUGGCACAUUUCUUUCAUUAUUAGAUAAAAAGCAUCCUAGUGUAUGUUAAUUUAUCCUCGCUAGAUUGGUAUAAGGGACUGGAAAUCACAUAAGAACUAUUUUUUGGAUAUAUAUUUAACUAGCUUAGCUUGCAACAAACUAGAUUGGAUUAAGAUAUAAAGAACUAAUUCUAAUUUUGAUUUGAAUUUAAUUAUUGCAGCAACUACAACUAUGGACCGGCUGGUAAAGCCAUUGGCCAAGACCUGCUCAACAAUCCGGACUUGGUCGCCACCGACCCUGUCGUCUCCUUCCAAACGGCGUUAUGGUUCUGGAUGACCCCACAAUCCCCAAAACCUUCAUGUCAUGAUGUCAUCACCGGGCGGUGGACGCCAUCGGCUGCCGAUCGAGCGGCGGGACGUGUUCCGGGAUAUGGUGUCAUCACCAACAUCAUCAACGGUGGGAUCGAGUGUGGCAAGGGGCAGGACAGUAGUGUGGCAGACCGGAUUGGGUUCUACAAGAGAUACUGUGACCUUCUGGGAGUGAGCUAUGGAGACAACUUGGACUGCUACAAC